This 206-nucleotide ribosomal RNA is filed under the name uncultured bacterium. RNAcentral's name for it is "partial 16S ribosomal RNA". It matches the Rfam family "Bacterial small subunit ribosomal RNA", at positions 568 to 774 of the family's 1533-position model. The record is from RNAcentral.
CGGGCAGGUGGCCUUUUAAGUCCUUUGUGAAAUUCCGGAGCUCAACUCCGGAUGUGCAUAGGAUACUGGGAGGCUAGAGACUGGUAGAGGCGAGCGGAAUUCCUGGUGUAGCGGUGGAAUGCGUAGAUAUCAGGAAGAACACCGGUGGCGAAGGCGGCUCGCUGGGCCAGUUCUGACACUCAUCCGCGAAAGCGUGGGAGCAAACA